Molecule: ribosomal RNA, 253 nt
Filed under: uncultured bacterium
Lineage: Bacteria
Description: partial 16S ribosomal RNA
Rfam family: Bacterial small subunit ribosomal RNA
Source: RNAcentral
UACAGAGGGUGCGAGCGUUGUCCGGAAUCACUGGGCGUAAAGAGCUCGUAGGCGGUCUGUCGCGUCUGCUGUGAAAACUCGGGGCUUAACCCCGGGCCUGCAGUGGGUACGGGCAGACUAGAGGUAUUCAGGGGAGAACGGAAUUCCUGGUGUAGCGGUGAAAUGCGCAGAUAUCAGGAGGAACACCGGUGGCGAAGGCGGUUCUCUGGGAAUAUCCUGACGCUGAGGAGCGAAAGUGUGGGGAGCGAACAGG